AGUGAACGCUGGCGGUAGGCCUAACACAUGCCAGUCGAACGGCAGCACAGUAAGAGCUUGCUCUUACGGGUGGCGAGUGGCGGACGGGUGAGGAAUACAUCGGAAUCUACUUUUUCGUGGGGGAUAACGUAGGGAAACUUACGCUAAUACCGCAUACGACCUACGGGUGAAAGCAGGGGAUCUUCGGACCUUGCGCGAUUGAAUGAGCCGAUGUCGGCUUAGCUAGUGGGCGGGGUAAAGGCCCACCAAGGCGACGAUCCGUAGCCGGUCUGAGAGGAUGAUACGCCACACUGGAAGUGAGACACGGUCCAGACGCCUACGGGAGGCAGCAGUGGGGAAUAUUGGACAAUGGGCGCAAGCCUGAUCCAGCCAUACCGCGUGGGUGAAGAAGGCCUUCGGGUUGUAAAGCCCUUUUGUUGGGAAAGAAAAGCAGCAGGUUAAUACCCCGCUGUUCUGACGGUACCCAAAGAAUAAGCACCGGCUAACUUCGUG
This 492-nucleotide ribosomal RNA is filed under the name uncultured bacterium. RNAcentral's name for it is "partial 16S ribosomal RNA". It matches the Rfam family "Bacterial small subunit ribosomal RNA", at positions 29 to 507 of the family's 1533-position model. The record is from RNAcentral.